CCUGUUCUUUUUAGCCGGUGGAAUAAAACUCCUCUCCACCAUAGGCCAAAACGGACGACGGCGCUGUGGACCUGAAGCGUCUCUUCCCUUCUCAUUCUUUCAAGAGCAGCCUUCUGCAGAUUGGUCUAUUAAGCAGACAUAUCUAAUCUUGAUUCGUGACUCAACAAGCUCCAUGACAUCAGUUCCAAAACCCCUCAAGUUUCUCCGUCCUCAUUAUGGAACUCUCAAGGAAUUUCAUGUAACAAUGGCGGAGUCUGAUCUUAAAAAAAUGUUGGCUGAUAUACGUUCUGUC
Camelina sativa (false flax) is the source of this 292-nucleotide non-coding RNA. NCBI's taxonomy places the organism in Eukaryota, Viridiplantae, Streptophyta, Magnoliopsida, Brassicales, Brassicaceae. The record is from RefSeq and is a predicted model, not a curated record.